RNAcentral lists this ribosomal RNA (1110 nucleotides) under Triticum aestivum (bread wheat). Its description in RNAcentral is "partial small subunit ribosomal RNA". The record is from RNAcentral. Lineage: Eukaryota; Viridiplantae; Streptophyta; Magnoliopsida; Poales; Poaceae.
AUGGCGGACGGCGUGCUCAUAGCGGAUGGCAACCUAAGGUUGGAGGAGGCAGUAGACGAGAGUGGCUUCCUAGAGCCUUUCUUCUACGACGAGGCGGAGGUCGUGGCCGAAGCGGCGGCGGCGGCGGCGGCGGAGAGGCGGCAGCGGGAGGCUGAGGAGAAGUCGGCGGAGCAUGCGCGGAAGAUGGAGGAAUGCAGGCGGAGAAAGGCAGCGCAUCAGGCCGUCAUCAACAGGAUCCGCGAGUACGAUCCCAAGACGGGGAAAGUCUGCUACACCCGAUUCUUCAACACGGACUUCUCCGUAUUUGACAUCGACGAGGAGUCUCCUCUGGCUCCAAUGCGAUACACUCACAAAACACCAUCCAAAUAUACCAACUCACUCGGAAGACAGGUGUACGACGUGUCUGACUCUGUAAACAUCCUCUCAGUGAAGAUAGCCUCUUCGGAUGUGGGAUUCCCGUUAAAGGUGUACGGUACCGUGAUUGCAAGAGAUUACCUUGAUUUUAAGUGUGUCUAUCUGUUCCGUCGCCGUAGAGAGGAUUACCAGCUCAUCAACUCAGAGUGCAAAGGGAUCGAUAGUAUAUAUUUUGAGGUGGAUCUUAAGAUCAAGGAUGACCAAGGGAAGAGAGACCAAGAACUUAGCAAGGGACUGUGUGCGAUUGAUGGCAUAUUAAUGGGAGGGGAGGAACAUGGUCAUGUUGGAUGUGAAGACCUUGAUAGCAGGCUGAGCACUGUAGAGGUGAAAUUUGCAGUAGUUAAACUUGCAGUGGAGGCUACCCUUGAAAUCAAGGUUCUCAAAGGAGAUUUCUAUGGAGAAAUCACAGCUUGCACCUCCAGGAUUCAGGAUCGCCUUGUGCUUCAUGAUAGCAAAGCAGGUGGUGUAAUCUGUGAUGGUACUGGAAUGCUCCAGUUGUGGCGCCGUGUUGUAACUGUUGGGAUGAAGGAUAUGCUUUUAUUAACGAUUGCUAUCCAGGCUAGUGAUGUGGCAACUGCCUCUGCUACACGAACCACUAAUUUCACUCCACAUGUGAACGGUGCAGAGGAAGAUGAAAUUACCUGUGGUGCUGUUAAGAUGCUUAUCAAGGUCAACUGGUCAUUAUUUGAAUUGUAA